RNAcentral lists this ribosomal RNA (253 nucleotides) under uncultured bacterium. RNAcentral's name for it is "partial 16S ribosomal RNA". It matches the Rfam family "Bacterial small subunit ribosomal RNA", at positions 524 to 776 of the family's 1533-position model. The record is from RNAcentral.
GACAGAGGAUGCAAGCGUUAUCCGGAAUGAUUGGGCGUAAAGCGUCUGUAGGUGGCUUUUCAAGUCCGCCGUCAAAUCCCAGGGCUCAACCCUGGACAGGCGGUGGAAACUACCAAGCUGGAGUACGGUAGGGGCAGAGGGAAUUUCCGGUGGAGCGGUGAAAUGCGCAGAUAUCGGUAGGAACACCAGUGGCGAAGGCGGUCUCCUGGGGCAUUCUUGACGCUGAGGCGCGAAAGCUGGGGGAGCGAACGGG